This is a long non-coding RNA of Mya arenaria, 729 nucleotides long. RefSeq lists it as uncharacterized. The record is from RefSeq and is a predicted model, not a curated record. NCBI's taxonomy places the organism in Eukaryota, Metazoa, Mollusca, Bivalvia, Myida, Myidae. The transcript is spliced from 2 exons.
AAAUAAACGUCCUCACAAGCGAAAAUUUAUCUUGUAAAUUAUAAUGGACAUCCCUUGGUUUGAAACAUCGAUUGCAACACCAUAUGGUGAAACAAAAACAUCUUCAUAUUUUAUUCAAUCCUUUAUAUCAAAUGCAGUGUUCAGUUAUAUUUUAACCACAUAUACAGAGUUUUAAGGAGAAUAUAAUCAUCAACGAUUAAUCACGAAAUUAACACGAUGUCCUCGCAGAGAAUGACGUUACUUUGCACGGUUCUAAUAUUGUCAUACGCAGUACAGUGUCUAUCACUUCCGACAAAAACUUAUGCAACACAGACAGAUGUCGUCAACAACAAAUUUGGGAUGAGAGCGGGAAGAUAUCCAAACAAUGAGGCUCCCCAAAACACUGCUACGAUCAAGCGCGAUUUCAUUAUAUCGUAUAUUGGUCUAGGAGGAGGUGGAAGACGUUAAUAGUGGAUCCCUCUUCAAUGACUGUCAAUGUUUUCAUGACCGCUGUUGUAUUCGUUGUACUUUACGUGGGUCUCUCUUUUGGAAUGUUUUGUAUUCUUUAUGCGUUUAUAACUUGCUGACAUGUGUGUAAUUUCCUUAAAGAUGGAAGUCAUUCAUAUGAGUUAUAAUUCAACAAAAGGCAUCCGUCAAAACAGUCAGUACGAUCCAAGUUCUUUGUAAAGCUUUAAUCACUGAAAUAUCUAUGUUGUGUUUUUAUGAGGCAAUACAUAUAUUGAAUUGAGA